This 442-nucleotide ribosomal RNA is filed under the name uncultured bacterium. RNAcentral describes it as "bacterial SSU rRNA". It matches the Rfam family "Bacterial small subunit ribosomal RNA", at positions 958 to 1400 of the family's 1533-position model. The record is from RNAcentral.
AACGCGAAGAACCUUACCCAGGCUUGACAUGCACCGGACAGCACCAGAGAUGGUGUCUUCCUUCGGGACCGGUGCACAGGUGCUGCAUGGCUGUCGUCAGCUCGUGCCGUGAGGUGUUGGGUUAAGUCCCGCAACGAGCGCAACCCUUAUCAUUAGUUGCCAACAUUUAAGGUGGGAACUCUAAUGAGACUGCCUGGGUUAACCAGGAGGAAGGUGAGGAUGACGUCAAGUCCGCAUGGCCCUUAUGUCUGGGGCUACACACGUGCUACAAUGGCCGGUACAAUAGGCAGCGAAACCGCGAGGCGAAGCAAAUCCCUAAAAGCCGGCCCCAGUUCAGAUUGUAGUCUGCAACUCGACUACAUGAAGACGGAAUUGCUAGUAAUGGCGAGUCAGCAACAUCGCCGUGAAUACGUUCCCGGGCCUUGUACACACCGCACUACUA